Non-coding RNA from Leptonychotes weddellii (Weddell seal), 1334 nucleotides. Lineage: Eukaryota; Metazoa; Chordata; Mammalia; Carnivora; Phocidae. The record is from RefSeq and is a predicted model, not a curated record.
AGAGGCCACCCCAGGGCCAGGGAAGGAGGCCAGCCCCUUCUCCACGACCAGCUGGUCCAUGCGCCCGGUGACGUGCCCCAGGCCAGGAUGACAGAUGGCCCCCGAAGGAAAGGUGGAAGCAUCUCCCGCCCCCUGGCUGUCACCUCUCCGGGGGGUUGUCACCCGCCUCUUCCCCCAGCCACCACCACGACCACCUGAGGCGAGAGGGUGAGGAUGGAGCCCUCUGGCUCCCAGGCCAUCGGCCCGGCGAGGAGCUGCUCUCGUCUCGCCUGCCCAGCCUGAAGUUUGAACUCCUGCACCCCCCGCCUCUGCCCUCCCCCCACCCAACACCCUCACCCUGAGAGGGUCGCACGAUUCUGAGACCCGGCACGUGCCCUUGAUGGAGCCGGAGACUCUUACGGUGGGGCCAGAGUUGUCUUUCCUGAAAAUAGCCCUAGAGGUUUAGGGCGGGAUCUCCAGCGGGACCCCUCAUCCCAGACCUCCCUCUCUUGGCUUGCUUCUGGCCUGAGCCACACCUUACGGGGACCAGCUCCAUCUUCGGGGACAAGACAAGAGGCCCUCUCUAUGGCGAAGCGGGCCUGAGGGGUCCUCCAAGCAAUGGCCAUUGUCCCAGGCUCGGUGCCGCAAAUAGGGCUGUGCCAGGUCCCAUGGACAGACACAGCCUCAUGGGUCGUCAGGCUACGAAGUGUGUGCCAGGGGAGGCCACCAGUGUUGGGCAGAGCCCAGGGAGCAUCACCAGGAAGGGAGUCUGCAGAAGAGCAGGAGGAGGUCCUGAGGACGGUCACCGGGCUGUCUCCUCCCACUGUCCCGUUCUCCCGUCCAGCCUGGAUGCAUAGACGGUGCUGGGAAGAAAUGCACGACCCUAACGCGCAGAAAUGUGGCCGCAGCCCCUGGGGGGAAUGAGAACCUGCUUGCUUUGGUCCCCGCCAGCAGGAAGGCCCGGGCCGUCUGUGGGCAAGGAGGGUGGGGAGGAGGCCUCCGAGAAGCUGCCUGCUCCACCAUCGGACCCAGAGCCAUCUCCCCAGGCAGCAAGUGUAUCUGGUUGGCAGCCAACUGAUGUGGAGAACCCGGUCCCCCCGGGUUGUGUUCCCAGGAGGGGGCUCUGCGGCACGGAGUUCCUGGGCCAGGGGCUUCCCGGAGCAGAUGGUCCGCCCAUGGGCUCAUUGUUCUAAAGUAUUUCUUUAGUAUUAUUAAAAAGAUGGUGUCGUGUCAAGAAAGAAGAAAGUGGAAAAAAAAAAAAUUGGGCACUCACCCAUUGCCCGAGCAAGUACCAUUUUCCUGCCUGCGAAUGGUCCUGGGACUCAGCUCAGCACACACAAAAUUUGUACAUGCCC